GAUGAACGCUGGCGGCGUGCUUAACACAUGCAAGUCGAACGAUGAAGCCCAGCUUGCUGGGUGGAUUAGUGGCGAACGGGUGAGUAACACGUGAGUAACCUGCCCUUGACUCUGGGAUAAGCCUGGGAAACUGGGUCUAAUACUGGAUAUGACUUCUCAUCGCACGGUGGGGGGUGGAAAGAUUUUUUGGUCUUGGAUGGACUCGCGGCCUAUCAGCUUGUUGGUGAGGUAAUGGCUCACCAAGGCGGCGACGGGUAGCCGGCCUGAGAGGGUGACCGGCCCAGCUGGAUCCGGGAGGCGGCAGAGGCGCCUCGGGGGGGAAGGAGGGGGGAAUGUCCCACAAAGGGCGCGAGCCUGAUGAAGGGGCGCGGAGUGGGGAGCGCCGUCUUUGGGGUUGAAAGCCUGUUUGAGUGGAAAGAAAGCGAGGGGGCGGGACCCUACAAAAGAGGGGCGGCUAACUACGG
Molecule: ribosomal RNA, 464 nt
Filed under: uncultured bacterium
Lineage: Bacteria
Description: partial 16S ribosomal RNA
Rfam family: Bacterial small subunit ribosomal RNA
Source: RNAcentral